RNAcentral lists this transfer RNA (74 nucleotides) under Fomitopsis schrenkii. Its description in RNAcentral is "tRNA-Trp (CCA) (tRNA-Trp-CCA-2-1)". It matches the Rfam family "tRNA". From Rfam's summary of the family: Transfer RNA (tRNA) molecules are approximately 80 nucleotides in length. Their secondary structure includes four short double-helical elements and three loops (D, anti-codon, and T loops). Further hydrogen bonds mediate the characteristic L-shaped molecular structure. tRNAs have two regions of fundamental functional importance: the anti-codon, which is responsible for specific mRNA codon recognition, and the 3' end, to which the tRNAs corresponding amino acid is attached (by aminoacyl-tRNA synthetases). tRNAs cope with the degeneracy of the genetic code in two manners: having more than one tRNA (with a specific anti-codon) for a particular amino acid; and 'wobble' base-pairing, i.e. permitting non-standard base-pairing at the 3rd anti-codon position. Lineage: Eukaryota; Fungi; Basidiomycota; Agaricomycetes; Polyporales; Fomitopsidaceae. The record is from RNAcentral.
GGACCCCUAGCUCAGCUGGUAGAGCAUCUGAUUCCAGAUCCAGAAGGUCGUCCGUUCAAAUCGGGCGGGGUUCA